UGGGGAAUAUUGGACAAUGGGCGAAAGCCUGAUCCAGCCAUGCCGCGUGAGUGAUGAAGGCCCUAGGGUUGUAAAGCUCUUUUGUGCGGGAAGAUAAUGACGGUACCGCAAGAAUAAGCCCCGGCUAACUUCGUGCCAGCAGCCGCGGUAAUACGAAGGGGGCUAGCGUUGCUCGGAAUCACUGGGCGUAAAGGGUGCGUAGGCGGGUUUCUAAGUCAGAUGUGAAAGCCUGGAGCUCAACUCCAGAACUGCCUUUUAUACUGGAAGUCUUGAGUUCGGGAGAGGUGAGUGUAACUGCGCGUGUAGAGGUGAAAUUCGUAGAUAUUCGCAAGAACACCAGUGGUGAAGGCGGCUCACUGGCCCGAUACUGACGCUGAGGCACGAAAGCGUGGGGAGCAAACA
RNAcentral lists this ribosomal RNA (402 nucleotides) under uncultured bacterium. Its description in RNAcentral is "bacterial SSU rRNA". It matches the Rfam family "Bacterial small subunit ribosomal RNA", at positions 355 to 774 of the family's 1533-position model. The record is from RNAcentral.